AUGUUCUCCAGCUCCACACGCAACCACUCCUCCGCGUCGCCGCCGCCUCUGCCUCACCCCGACUCCUUCCGCAGCAAUGGCCUACCUCAUCUCCCCUCCGCCGAUGUGCGGCGACCCCGGGAGGAGCUCAAGCCGCAGCGAUGGUCCACCGCGCCGGCGCCGUCGUCGGUGUUUGAUGAAAGUUCAGCAACAUCCGAGCAUGCUCACCUCCAGUUCGCCAACAACCAGAAUUUAAAGAAAACAAGAACAUCGAACCGGCAGUGGAGGAGCAGCAGCGGCCAACGGCAGAUCGGCGUGUCAUGGGAGCAGACACGGCGGCCGUCACGGGCAGAGCAGAGCGAAGUUGGCAUGGCGGCUAGGCGGUUGUCCGGACUGGAUCCCGCCAUCACCACCAGCCACCGCCUCGUGACACUCCACCGCCACCGCUCUGCUGCUUCCGCCCUACGCUUCGCUCCCUCCCGUGCCAUCCUCACCUCCGACAAAAAGGACCUCUUGGACGUCAUUGCACAUGCUGGCCUCUUCCGACCCCGUGGCCACCGUGAUCAGGUAAUUGAUUUUGUGUUCCUGGGUUCGGGUAAGAAGCUAGUGACCUGCUCCAAGGACAAGGUUAUCUGGGUUUGGGACCUCGACACACAACACUGCCUUCAAAUUGUAAGGGUAGUCAAGCGCCACAGGAUAUCAUCCUUUGUUGUGGAUGAGAAUGGGAUGAUCAAUCGGAUUGCCGGGGUUGAUGAUUUGUCAAAGGAAUUUUAUUGCAAAUUCCUAGAGCAGCUUCCCUUGCGCCGUCAUCCAUCCACCAACAAGCCCAUGACCAUGCAUCAGAAAUAUUUGAUUUUUGGAGGAGAAAGGUCAUACAAGGAUGAGAAUGGGACACCAUAUUAUAGCGACGUGAGAAUGAAAAGCAUCUUUCACGCUGCCAACGGGAUCUGGACCAAUAAGAGGAUCAGGAGGACGAAUACAGUGGACACUACUACUCAGCAAGAUACAGUUCAAACCCUAAUUAUAGACACCUCAUUCUAUAAGGAGGCCGCCACCAAGAAGAGCGAGGUUGUGUCAAUGGACUCAGGUGCGUGCACUCGUUGGUGGUUUCAGUCUCAUAAUUUUUUCUUUCCAGUUGAAGAACGGGCGGUGGAUAUCUGUUACUCCAUUCUGUCUUUCCUGACUGUUCUAGAUAAGAUGAUGGCUAUCAAUGUGAGCGACUGA
RNAcentral lists this ribosomal RNA (1203 nucleotides) under Triticum aestivum (bread wheat). RNAcentral describes it as "partial small subunit ribosomal RNA". The record is from RNAcentral. Lineage: Eukaryota; Viridiplantae; Streptophyta; Magnoliopsida; Poales; Poaceae.